RNAcentral lists this long non-coding RNA (10522 nucleotides) under Oryza sativa (Asian cultivated rice). Its description in RNAcentral is "long non-coding RNA (OSAT_LNC000644)". The record is from RNAcentral. Lineage: Eukaryota; Viridiplantae; Streptophyta; Magnoliopsida; Poales; Poaceae.
CUCAAAGGAAGGAAUCAACAGCAUUAGCUCUCAAGCCUGGCAGGGCGAGAGCUCUUAGGCGGCAACUGCGAAUGUUAUGAGAAACAAGCCUUAAAUUUAUCAUCAUUGCCAUACUAUUAAGGAUUUGUAAGAAAAUAAAAACAAAAACCAAAAAAGUUGUUACUUCAAAUAAAUCAAAUGUAAUCACAGAAACCGGCUCUGUAGACCGAUGGAGAUGCAGUCCCAGGUUCCUAUAAACAUGUGAAACGUCCGAAACCAACUCGGUUUUGGCCUAAUCAAAGCAUCACCGGUCAAAGCCAUAGCUACAGGUGACGUGGCAUCAGGCCUAAACAAUCACAAAAAUAGCAGAUGCAAAUUUUAGAUUAUAUGAGACAAAGCUACGCACAAUCCCUCAGAGACCCGUUUAAAAUCACACACACACCCGAAUUAAACCAAUUGCAAAUGGGUACUCCAUCCAAGACCAAACCACAAAGGUUAUGGUCGAAGGAUGGACACUUGCAAAGGAGAAAAGCAGCUGCUGUUUAAAGUGUCAUACGGCACUUCCUAUGGUCUUAGAUUCCUCACCGGGACAAGGUUGCAACUCAUAAUACAUGAACAGAAUUUAGAUCUAUAUAAACUACAAUAUUAUUGGAUUAAGCCUCAGGAAGACAGACAAAUGUCGUCAUUUGAUAAUCCGACGGUAAUUCCAACAAUAUGCUAAUCAUCACAGGCUCAAAAUCAUAGAUGUAGGAAGCAGAAACAAUUAUAAAACACGCAAGAUUGGAUGAAAGAAUAUAAAUUGGAUAUUUAAAGCAUCAUCAGAAAGAAAAGCCUUCUCAUUCACAGUGUGAUUGCACUGUGUCAGAAGGUGUCCUAAGAUUGUUAUAAGGUUUCAUCCUCUGAUACUGUAAAAAUUCCACAUAAACUAUAAACAAUAAAGGAUAUGUUGUGACUGGAUUCAGAUGCAGAGAUGUGUAACGUCAUAUGGACGACAAAAGCCGUCCUCUGAUCAAGUGUAGGAUUAUGCAUCAAUUACCUACUCACAAUCCAAACAGAUCUAAGAAAACAAUAAAAAAAACAUAGAAAUAAUAAGAACAAAUUGGAGGUGGAUUUCAUGUUACUCAGUGGUGGCUUUAAUAAUUGGUUCGAUUCUGCCAGCGAGCGUCCUCAAUGCCUUCAGAAGAGGGAGCAUAAUAUCCUCAUCGCAACAGCCUCCUCCAAUGCAAAGAACACAGAUCUAAACCGAAAUGGAACAAAAAAUAUACAAAUUUUAACACAAAAUAUCAAACCAUAAAUAAUAAAAAGAGCAAUACAAGAUGGCUCGGUUCAGCGGGAAAAUCGGCAUACAAAUCAAUCCCAGAGGAGUAGAUCCAGAGAGGAAGACCUGUGAUUUGGUCUGUUGAGCUUGAAUAUUACCAAGUCGUCACUGCCAUCACAUCGCUUGCAUAAUAGAACAGCGUGACAAAAAAAAGAUCAAAACGAAACAAAAGAAAUUGCAGGAUGUAGAAAAAAUUCAAGUCCUCACUGCCAUUGCAUCGCAUGCAUUAUAGAACAAAACAGCCGUGAAAAAAACAUCAAAAUGAAACAACAAAUCACAGGAUGUAGCAAAAAGUGCAGAAGAAUAAGCAGAUUUGGCUGUGCUAGGAAAAGCGUCUACGGGGGAGGAAAGAGGAGGAGAUUUGCUGCAAGAGGAGGAGAUUUGCUGCAGCAGUAGCACUAACCCUCAAGCCUGGCAGGGCGAAAGCUCUUAGGCGGCAACUGCGAAUGUCAUGAGAAACAAGCCUUGAUUUUAGCAUCACAAGGCAUCCAUCACAGCCGACAUACUUUUCAGUAAACAUGAACGACUAAACUGGCAAUCAAAUUAAUUGAAGAUAAUGAAUUAAAAAUGGGCAAAACAAAUUAUUUAAAGAGGAUAGAGUUGGUGUUGCUGUGCAUCAGACAUCCAAGGAAGGAAUUAGCAGCACUAGCUCUCAAGCCUGGCAGGGCGAAAGCUCUUAGGCGGCAACUGCGAAUUUCAUGAGAAACAAGCCUUGAUUAUAGCAUCAUUUGCAAUGCAGAACACUAACUUACACAGAGCAAAAGAACACAAAUAUGAAUAUAUAAAUAACAUGGCUCAGACAUCCAAGGAAGGAAUUAACAGCAUUAGCUCUCAAGCCUGGCAGGGCGAGAGCUCUUAGGCGGCAACUGCGAAUGUUAUGAGAAACAAGCCUUAAAUUUAUCAUCAUUGCCAUACUAUUAAGGAUUUGUAAGAAAAUAAAAACAAAAACCAAAAAAGUUGUUACUUCAAAUAAAUCAAAUGUAAUCACAGAAACCGGCUCUGUAGACCGAUGGAGAUGCAGUCCCAGGUUCCUAUAAACAUGUGAAACGUCCGAAACCAACUCGGUUUUGGCCUAAUCAAAGCAUCACCGGUCAAAGCCAUAGCUACAGGUGACGUGGCAUCAGGCCUAAACAAUCACAAAAAUAGCAGAUGCAAAUUUUAGAUUAUAUGAGACAAAGCUACGCACAAUCCCUCAGAGACCCGUUUAAAAUCACACACACCCGAAUUAAACCAAUUGCAAAUGGGUACUCCAUCCAAGACCAAACCACAAAGGUUAUGGUCGAAGGAUGGACACUUGCAAAGGAGAAAAGCAGCUGCUGUUUAAAGUGUCAUACGGCACUUCCUAUGGUCUUAGAUUCCUCACCGGGACAAGGUUGCAACUCAUAAUACAUGAACAGAAUUUAGAUCUAUAUAAACUACAAUAUUAUUGGAUUAAGCCUCAGGAAGCCAGACAAAUGUCGUCAUUUGAUAAUCCGACGGUAAUUCCAACAAUAUGCUAAUCAUCACAGGCUCAAAAUCAUAGAUGUAGGAAGCAGAAACAAUUAUAAAACACGCAAGAUUGGAUGAAAGAAUAUAAAUUGGAUAUUUAAAGCAUCAUCAGAAAGAAAAGCCUUCUCAUUCACAGUGUGAUUGCACUGUGUCAGAAGGUGUCCUAAGAUUGUUAUAAGGUUUCAUCCUCAGAUACUUUAAAAAUUCCACAUAAACUAUAAACGAUAAAGGAUAUGUUCUGUGACUGGAUUCAGAUGCAGAGAUGUGUAACGUCAUAUGGACGACAAAAGCCGUCCUCUGAUCAAGUGUUGGAUUAUGCAUCAAUUACCUACUCACAAUCCAAACAGAUCUAAGAAAACAAUAAAAAAAACAUAGAAAUAAUAAGAACAAAUUGGAAGAGGAUUUCAUGUUACUCAGUGGUGGCUUUAAUAAUUGGUUCGAUUCUGCCAGCGAGCGUCCUCAAUGCCUUCAGAAGAGGGAGCAUAAUAUCCUCAUCGCAACAGCGUCCUCCAAUGCAAAGAACACAGAUCUAAACCGAAAUGGAAUAAAAAAUAUACAAAUUUUAACACAAAAUAUCAAACCAUAAAUAAUAAAAAGAGCAAUACAUGAUGGCUCGGUUCAGCGGGAAAAUCGGCAUACAAAUCAAUCCCAGAGGAGUGGAUCCAGAGAGGAAGACCUGUGAUUUGGUCUGUUGAGCUUGAAUAUUACCAAGUCGUCACUGCCAUCGCAUCGCUUGCAUAAUAGAACAGCGUGACAAAAAAAAGAUCAAAACGAAACAAAAGAAAUUGCAGGAUGUAGAAAAAAUUCAAGUCCUCACUGCCAUUGCAUCGCAUGCAUAAUAGAACAAAACAGCCGUGAAAAAAACAUCAAAAUGAAACAACAAAUCACAGGAUGUAGCAAAAAGUGCAGAAGAAUAAGCAGAUCUGGCUGUGCUAGGAAAAGCGUCUACGGGGGAGGAAAGAGGAGGAGAUUUGCUGCAAGAGGAGGAGAUUUGCUGCAGCAGUAGCACUAACCCUCAAGCCUGGCAGGGCGAAAGCUCUUAGGCGGCAACUGCGAAUGUCAUGAGAAACAAGCCUUGAUUUUAGCAUCACAAGGCAUCCAUCACAGCCGACAUACUUUUCAGUAAACAUGAAUGACUAAACUGGCAAUCAAAUUAAUUGAAGAUAAUGAAUUAAAAAUGGGCAAAACAAAUUUUUUAAAGAGGAUAGAGUUGGUGUUGCUGUGCAUCAGACAUCCAAGGAAGGUAUUAGCAGCACUAGCUCUCAAGCCUGGCAGGGCGAAAGCUCUUAGGCGGCAACUGCGAAUUUCAUGAGAAACAAGCCUUGAUUAUAGCAUCAUUUGCAAUGCAGAACACUAACUUACACAGAGCAAAAGAACACAAAUAUGAAUAUAUAAAGAACAUGGCUCAGACAUCCAAGGAAUGAAUUAACAGCAUUAGCUCUCAAGCCUGGCAGGGCGAGAGCUCUUAGGCGGCAACUGCGAAUGUUAUGAGAAACAAGCCUUAAAUUUAUCAUCAUUGCCAUACUAUUAAGGAUUUGUAAGAAAAUAAAAACAAAAACCAAAAAAGUUGUUACUUCAAAUAAAUCAAAUGUAAUCACAGAGACCGGCUCUGUAGACCGAUGGAGAUGCAGUCCCAGGUUCCUAUAAACAUGUGAAACGUCGGAAACCAACUCGGUUUUGGCCUAAUCAAAGCAUCACCGGUCAAAGCCCUAGCUACAGGUGACGUGGCAUCAGGCCUAAACAAUCACAAAAAUAUCAGAUGCAAAUUUUAGAUUAUAUGAGACAAAGCUACGCACAAUCCCUCAGAGACCCGUUUAAAAUCACACACAGCCGAAUUAAACCAAUUGCAAAUGGGUACUCCAUCCAAGACCAAACCACAAAGGUUAUGGUCGAAGGAUGGACACUUGCAAAGGAGAAAAGCAGCUGCUGUUUAAAGUGUCAUACGGCACUUCCUAUGGUCUUAGAUUCCUCACCGGGACAAGGUUGCAACUCAUAAUACAUGAACAGAAUUUAGAUCUAUAUAAACUACAAUAUUAUUGGAUUAAGCCUCAGGAAGCCAGACAAAUGUCGUCAUUUGAUAAUCCGACGGUAAUUCCAACAAUAUGCUAAUCAUCACAGGCUCAAAAUCAUAGAUGUAGGAAGCAGAAACAAUUAUAAAACACGCAAGAUUGGAUGAAAGAAUAUAAAUUUGAUAUUUAAAGCAUCAUCAGAAAGAAAAGCCUUCUCAUUCACAGUGUGAUUGCACUGUGUCAGAAGGUGUCCUAAGAUUGUUAUAAGGUUUCAUCCUCAGAUACUUUAAAAAUUCCACAUAAACUAUAAACGAUAAAGGAUAUGUUCUGUGACUGGAUUCAGAUGCAGAGAUGUGUAACGUCAUAUGGACGACAAAAGCCGUCCUCUGAUCAAGUGUUGGAUUAUGCAUCAAUUACCUACUCACAAUCCAAACAGAUCUAAGAAAACAAUAAAAAAAACAUAGAAAUAAUAAGAACAAAUUGGAGGAGGAUUUCAUGUUACUCAGUGGUGGCUUUAAUAAUUGGUUCGAUUCUGCCAGCGAGCGUCCUCAAUGCCUUCAGAAGAGGGAGAAUAAUAUCCUCAUCGCAACAGCCUCCUCCAAAGCAAAGAACACAGAUCUAAACCGAAAUGGAAUAAAAAAUAUACAAAUUUUAACACAAAAUAUCAAACCAUAAAUAAUAAAAAGAGCAAUACAAGAUGGCUCGGUUCAGCGGGAAAAUCGGCAUACAAAUCAAUCCCAGAGGAGUGGAUCCAGAGAGGAAGACCUGUGAUUUGGUCUGUUGAGCUUGAAUAUUACCAAGUCGUCACUGCCAUCGCAUCGCUUGCAUAAUAGAACAGCGUGACAAAAAAAAGAUCAAAACGAAACAAAAGAAAUUGCAGGAUGUAGAAAAAAUUCAAGUCCUCACUGCCAUUGCAUCGCAUGCAUAAUAGAACAAAACAGCCGUGAAAAAAACAUCAAAAUGAAACAACAAAUCACAGGAUGUAGCAAAAAGUGCAGAAGAAUAAGCAGAUCUGGCUGUGCUAGGAAAAGCGUCAACGGGGGAGGAAAGAGGAGGAGAUUUGCUGCAAGACGAGGAGAUUUGCUGCAGCAGUAGCACUAACCCUCAAGCCUGGCAGGGCGAAAGCUCUUAGGCGGCAACUGCGAAUGUCAUGAGAAACAAGCCUUGAUUUUAGCAUCACAAGGCAUCCAUCACAGCCGACAUACUUUUCAGUAAACAUGAAUGACUAAACUGGCAAUCAAAUUAAUUGAAGAUAAUGAAUUAAAAAUGGGCAAAACAAAUUUUUUAAAGAGGAUAGAGUUGGUGUUGCUGUGCAUCAGACAUCCAAGGAAGGUAUUAGCAGCACUAGCUCUCAAGCCUGGCAGGGCGAAAGCUCUUAGGCGGCAACUGCGAAUUUCAUGAGAAACAAGCCUUGAUUAUAGCAUCAUUUGCAAUGCAGAACACUAACUUACACAGAGCAAAAGAACACAAAUAUGAAUAUAUAAAGAACAUGGCUCAGACAUCCAAGGAAGGAAUUAACAGCAUUAGCUCUCAAGCCUGGCAGGGCGAGAGCUCUUAGGCGGCAACUGCGAAUGUUAUGAGAAACAAGCCUUAAAUUUAUCAUCAUUGCCAUACUAUUAAGGAUUUGUAAGAAAAUAAAAACAAAAACCAAAAAAGUUGUUACUUCAAAUAAAUCAAAUUUAAUCACAGAAACCGGCUCUGUAGACCGAUGGAGAUGCAGUCCCAGGUUCAUAUAAACAUGUGAAACGUCGGAAACCAACUCUGUUUUGGCCUAAUCAAAGCAUCACCGGUCAAAGCCGUAUCUACAGGUGACGUGGCAUCAGGCCUAAACAAUCACAAAAAUAGCAGAUGCAAAUUUUAGAUUAUAUGAGACAAAGCUACGCACAAUCCCUCAGAGACCCGUUUAAAAUCACACACACAGUCGAAUUAAACCAAUUGCAAAUGGGUACUCCAUCCCAGACCAAACCACAAAGGUUAUGGUCGAAGGAUGGACACUUGCAAAGGAGAAAAGCAGCUGCUGUUUAAAGUGUCAUACGGCACUUCCUAUGGUCUUAGAUUCCUCACCGGGACAAGGUUGCAACUCAUAAUACAUGAACAGAAUUUAGAUCUAUAUAAACUACAAUAUUAUUGGAUUAAGCCUCAGGAAGCCAGACAAAUGUCGUCAUUUGAUAAUCCGACGGUAAUUCCAACAAUAUGCUAAUCAUCACAGGCUCAAAAUCAUAGAUGUAGGAAGCAGAAACAAUUAUAAAACACGCAAGAUUGGAUGAAAGAAUAUAAAUUGGAUAUUUAAAGCAUCAUCAGAAAGAAAAGCCUUCUCAUUCACAGUGUGAUUGCACUGUGUCAGAAGGUGUCCUAAGAUUGUUAUAAGGUUUCAUCCUCUGAUACUGUAAAAAUUCCACAAACUAUAAACGAUAAAGGAUAUGUUCUGUGACUGGAUUCAGAUGCAGAGAUGUGUAACGUCAUAUGGACGACAAAAGCCAUCCUCUGAUCAAGUGUUGGAUUAUGCAUCAAUUACCUCCUCACAAUCCAAACAGAUCUAAGAAAACAAUAAAAAAACAUAGAAAUAAUAAGAACAAAUUGGAGGAGGAUUUCAUGUUACUCAGUGGUGGCUUUAAUAAUUGGUUCGAUUCUGCCAGCGAGCGUCCUCAAUGCCUUCAGAAGAGGGAGCAUAAUAUCCUCAUCGCAACAGCCUCCUCCAAUGCAAAGAACACAGAUAAAACCGAAAAGGAAUAAAAAAAUAUACAAAUUUUAACACAAAAUAUCAAACCAGAAAUAAGAAAAAAAAGAGCAAUACAAGAUGGCUCGGUUCAGCGGGAAAAUCGGCAUACAAAUCAAUCCCAGAGGAGUGGAUCCAGAGAGAAAGACCUGUGAUUUGGUCUGUUGAGCUUGAAUAUUACCAAGUCGUCACUGCCAUCGCAUUGCUGGCAUAAUAGAACAGCGUGACAAAAAAAAGAUCACAAUAGAAAUAUCAGGUUGUAGCGAAAAUUCAAGUCCUCACUGCAAUUGCAUCGCAUGCAUACUAGAAAAAAACAGCCGUGAAAAAAAACAACAAAAUGAAACAACAAAUCACAGGAUGUAGCAAAAGGUGCAGAAGAAUAAGCAGAUCUGGCUGUGCUAGGAAAAGCGUCUACGGGGGUGGAAAGAGGAGGAGAUUUGCUGCAAGAGGAGAUUUGCUGCAGCGGGAGGAAAGAGGUGGAGAUUUGCUGCAGCAGUGGCACUAACCCUCAAGCCUGGCAGGGCGAAAGCUCUUAGGCAGCAACUGCGAAUGUCAUGAGAAACAAGCCUUGAUUUUAGCAUCACAAGGCAUCCAUCACAGCCCAAAUACUUUUCAGUAAACAUGAAUGUCCAAACUGGCAAUCAAAUUAAUUGAAGAGAAUGAAUUAAAAAAUGGGCAAAACAAAUUAUUUAAAUAGGAUAGAGUUGGUGUUGCUAGGCAUCAGACAUCCAAGGAAGGAAUUAGCAGCACUAGCUCUCAAGCCUGGCAGGGCGAAAGCUCUUAGGCGGCAACUGCGAAUGUCAUGAGAAACAAGCCUUGAUUAUAGCAUCAUUUGCAAUGCAGAACACCAACUUACACAGAGCAAAAGAACACAAAUAGUAAUAUAUAAAGAAAAUGGCUCAAACAUCCAAGGAAGGAAUCAACAGCAUUAGCUCUCAAGCCUGGCAGGGCGAGAGCUCUUAGGCGGCAACUGCGAAUGUUAUGAGAAACAAGCCUUAAAUUUAUCAUCAUUGCCAUACUAUUAAGGAUUUGUAAGAAAAUAAAAACAAAAACCAAAAAAGUUGUUACUUCAAAUAAAUCAAAUGUAAUCACAGAAACCGGCUCUGUAGACCGAUGGAGAUGCAGUCCCAGGUUCCUAUAAACAUGUGAAACGUCCGAAACCAACUCGGUUUUGGCCUAAUCAAAGCAUCACCGGUCAAAGCCAUAGCUACAGGUGACGUGGCAUCAGGCCUAAACAAUCACAAAAAUAGCAGAUGCAAAUUUUAGAUUAUAUGAGACAAAGCUACGCACAAUCCCUCAGAGACCCGUUUAAAAUCACACACACCCGAAUUAAACCAAUUGCAAAUGGGUACUCCAUCCAAGACCAAACCACAAAGGUUAUGGUCGAAGGAUGGACACUUGCAAAGGAGAAAAGCAGCUGCUGUUUAAAGUGUCAUACGGCACUUCCUAUGGUCUUAGAUUCCUCACCGGGACAAGGUUGCAACUCAUAAUACAUGAACAGAAUUUAGAUCUAUAUAAACUACAAUAUUAUUGGAUUAAGCCUCAGGAAGACAGACAAAUGUCGUCAUUUGAUAAUCCGACGGUAAUUCCAACAAUAUGCUAAUCAUCACAGGCUCAAAAUCAUAGAUGUAGGAAGCAGAAACAAUUAUAAAACACGCAAGAUUGGAUGAAAGAAUAUAAAUUGGAUAUUUAAAGCAUCAUCAGAAAGAAAAGCCUUCUCAUUCACAGUGUGAUUGCACUGUGUCAGAAGGUGUCCUAAGAUUGUUAUAAGGUUUCAUCCUCUGAUACUGUAAAAAUUCCACAAACUAUAAACGAUAAAGGAUAUGUUCUGUGACUGGAUUCAGAUGCAGAGAUGUGUAACGUCAUAUGGACGACAAAAGCCAUCCUCUGAUCAAGUGUUGGAUUAUGCAUCAAUUACCUCCUCACAAUCCAAACAGAUCUAAGAAAACAAUAAAAAACAUAGAAAUAAUAAGAACAAAUUGGAGGAGGAUUUCAUGCUACUCAGUGGUGGCUUUAAUAAUUUGUUCGAUUCUGCCAGCGAGCGUCCUCAAUGCCUUCAGAAGAGGGAGCAUAAUAUCCUCAUCGCAACAGCCUCCUCCAAUGCAAAGAACACAGAUCUAAACCGAAAAGGAAUAAAAAAAUAUACAAAUUUUAACACAAAAUAUCAAACCAGAAAUAAGAAAAAAAUGAGCAAUACAAGAUGGCUCGGUUCAGCGGGAAAAUCGGCAUACAAAUCACCCAAAGUUAGAAAUAACAUAUUAGUGGCACAGCUGAAAACAAAAUAAGAAAUCACCCAACAUGCAGAGCUACAGGCACCCCAAACAUGCAAUUUCGUUUCAAGGGGUUUGUACUUUAGAAAAUGGAUGAUGUUAUGAGCCUCAGAGAUCUUGGUGGUAUGAGAUCAUCAACUGGGAAUCCCCAUCAAGAGUAGCAAAUAUUUAGCUUACAUCACAGGCCCAUAUAAAAAUCAGACAAUCGCAACUUAAUAAUUACAUAAUCAUUCCCAUAAAACUCUUGAAGAAAAUCAUUUGUAGCUAGUGGACUAAAUAUAUCAGCAAACAUCACAAUUGGAAAUUAAGAUAAAAUUUUACAGCAAGGAAGAUAAAUGUUUACAGUCAGAAAUGUCAUGAUCUGUCAGAAGUAGCUGGUUGUUAAAAUCAUAUUUGGAAAUUCAAUGGGAAUCCGUCUGAUUUUCUUCAUCACCCAGAUCAUGAGCAUUUCACCACAAAAGAAAUAUAUGAACCAUAUAAAUUAACCACCGCAAAACCAGCAACUAUAACAAGGCAAUCUAACAAACUAAGGAUCAUCACAAUUGAAAAAAAACAAUCUAGUGCCUUAUUUUUUAUCGAGCUCUAUUUCAUUUCAUGAAGGUAUCCAGUUAAUCGACGGAACGAGCAUUACUAAAAACUACUAAAUGAAUGGCCCGAUCUAUUAUAAAUCUACCGCUGGUAAACAGUCCAAUCACAACAAUUACAACACAGCUACUCCUUGGAGGAAUGGAAACUUACCCUG